RNA transcript from Nasonia vitripennis (jewel wasp), 770 nucleotides. RefSeq lists it as uncharacterized. The record is from RefSeq and is a predicted model, not a curated record. NCBI's taxonomy places the organism in Eukaryota, Metazoa, Arthropoda, Insecta, Hymenoptera, Pteromalidae. The transcript is spliced from 2 exons.
UUUUUGCAACGGCCCAGCUUUAGCAAUGUCUCGCUACGCCAUCCUGUGCCUCACGCUCCUACUGACCUUCACCGCGACCAACUGCCUUCUAACUCGAGAAAAACUCGUCGCUACUUCGGAACACGUAGUCGAGUAUCUGGAGCGAGGUAUCAACAGCGACGAUGGCACUGAAGAGCUGAAGUCCGCCAUGGCUCGGCCUCAAAGUGUCUUUGAAGCAGAUCCUCGAGAAAUUUCCGUUCCUCAUACAGAUAGCCGACAGAUUGGCCAAAAUCGAUCAACAAAUUUGGUACGUCGAAAAUGCUUACAAUUACCUGACGGAGUUCUUGAAAAAAGUUUACGGCUACAAGCUCUACGAGGUCAAGUAUGCAGCCAGGGCAUUCUUGGACAUUGGCAGUUCGGUGGAAAAAAUAUUCAAUGAGGUUGCCGUGGAAAAGCCACCAAAGAAACCUAGCGUUUUCAGCGUCUCAGCUACGAAUUUGAUGAGCCAACAUUAUAUAUGCCAAGUUUUUGUUCACAAAGAAGAAUAAAUUUAAUUCAUUUAAUGCGAUUGCAGGACCCCAGAAAAUCGUGCAUAUCGGAAAAAUCAUCGGAACUUAUCAUCGAUGGGUUGUUUGAACUCGGAAUUCCAUCAAAAUAUUAGAACGUCUCAAUCAAGGCGUCGACAGAGACCAAUUGGUUACGACUUCAAAAGAAGAUUACUAAAAGUAUGGGAGAAAGCUAAUGCUACCCUUCAAAAUAUUGCAAACAACGAAAAAGACAAAUGCACGCAA